GGGGGUGGGAGCGGCGGAGGCGUCCGUGUUGGACCCCGAGGCCUCCGCCUGCGUGGUAAGGUGGCCUCUUGAAAGCGGCCUAGGGGCUGAAGGCUGGCACGUGGGAAGCACUCUGGGUUGUGUGAGGACGUCGGGAGUGACUGCCCGUCCCGGUCCCACCCCUACCGCUCUGGCUGCCCCAAGGUUCACUUCGACGUGCGCUCCCCGGGGGCAUGCCGUCGGCCGGUGUGUAUUCAGCACCCGCUCGACCCGGCUCCCUGCGGAGCUACGGCGGAGACAAAGGACAGGGGGGCCGGGUCCCCGCCCGCCCGCAAGCACGCCCGCCCGCUGGGGGCUACCAGUCUAUCGCGGGGAGGGAGAAGGACAUCGUCGAUUCAGCCUUCUCUGCUUCACUUGUGCUGGGAACAUGCUCGAAGGCCGCUGGGGCCCAGGAGCCGGGAUCCCGGACCAGCCUGGGGAGGAUGAAGGGAGAGAGGGCAAAGCCGCUGCGGGGCGGGGCGGGGUGGGGUCGUGGGGGAGAUGCAGCAAGUGCCGAUGGCCUGCAACCUCGCGACUCUUGCAGGGAACCGCACGAAGAGAGCGCGUGGGGGCUCUGUACCGGAGGGAGCUCGGGGAUGGCGAGGGGCUUUGAACUUUACCACCAAGAGCUACAGGAGUCUCUCUAAAGAACAGUAUCAAGCGAGGUUCUCCUUGGAGGCCUCUGGAAAGCUAGACAACCGGAGAGGGCAACCUGGUGGCAGGUGGUUCCUAGUGUGGAUGAUGGGUCCAGGACUUAAUCGAACAAGAUUUCUUUCAACUGCCCAGUAUAGAAGUCGCGCUUGGAAACGCCGGAAGCCUGCACUGGGUAAGCACAUAGGGGCUAAGGAAUCAGAAGCUGUCUUGGAUUGCUCCUUCUGCCCCUGUCAGCCUCAGCUGAGCGGCUCCUCAGGCGCCCAGGAGCCUCCUCUGGACAGAUUUAUCCAGGAAAAUCUUGUCUGACCUCCCAACUUGAGACCUACCUCACCAUCUCCUCUUCAGAGACCGCCGCCCCCCUCCACCAAGUUCUUAGCUGCUCCCCAUCUUGUCCCUCUGGGCCUCUUAUUCCACCUUAUUUUUCUACACAGCCCUAAACAUUGACCUUAUAUUCCAUAUAUUCCAUGUCGAAUGUGUCUGUCAAAUUACCCACUUAAUGUUGUCUAUUCUCUACUUUAAAAUGAAAUUCUUCCCAAGCCCCAACACUCAGAGCAGGAUCCUGGACAGAGCAAGCCCCUUCUAUAUAUUGCUGAUGACUGGCUGGGGGAGCGAGGGAGGAGGCAGAGGCUGAGGCCCCAGAUGAGGGGACCGUUGUCUGAGACCCUUAUGGCCCUCUGGGGUUCCCAUCUUGAGUAGAUCCUGGCAUCGAGAAUUACCCACCCACCCUAGCUACCCCACUCCUAUGUUUCGGCUCCUGUCUCCUGCCCAGGUGACAUCUGUACUGCUCCAGGUGGGCUGAGAUCAGGGGUUGGCUGGCUGUCGAGAAGUUGCCUUCACACAGGACACUCGAGGCUUGAUGGGCCUUGUGCUGCCAGACCCGCUCUCUGCCCCUCUUUCCCUCCCUCACUUUCCCUUUUCUUCCAACUCUUCAGUCUUUUUCCAUCCUUCUUGAUUCUGCCUUUGCCUCGGGGCUCUGAGCCCCUACCCGGACAUGACUGGCCUGCCCGAGCGAGGACCUGGGGCCCCAGGUCGGUUCCUGCCCAGGGAAGUGCUCCUUCCCUGGGCAAGUAGAGCCAGACCUCUGGGUGGCUGUCUGGGUGUGGCUGACUUGGCUUCUUGUGGUCAGGACUGUUGCUCCCAGUUUUCCUUCU
Molecule: long non-coding RNA, 1823 nt
Organism: Bos grunniens (domestic yak)
Lineage: Eukaryota; Metazoa; Chordata; Mammalia; Artiodactyla; Bovidae
Source: Ensembl